AAAAACAAAAACAAAACAAAACAAAAAAAAAGAGUCACACGAACACAUGUUCUGAUCCACCUGAGGCAAAAGGCGCCCCUGUGGAGCCCAGCACGUCUGUGUGGGAGGAACCGCCUGGAGGAGCAGAGAGCAAAGCAAAGGGGCUUGGGGCGGAACACGACGGGAGUGGCAGGAGCAGCCAGCGGGAAGCCAGGGAGAGGGUUUGGAGAUCAGCCAGUCGCGGGCAGGGGUAGGCAAAACCUGUAGGUUCCUGUGGACGCCCUGGAAUUGUGCAGUUACUUCUGAGUGAGGCAUGAAACCAGUGAGUUCUGAGGAGACAACUAACGCUGCAAUUUAAUUUCCAGUUAACCUGUGGAGCUUCAGAAGCUCUCACUCACAACUGGGAUAUUAACAAGGUCGGAUCCGGAGGGAAGUCCCUCAGCACAUAGAGCAUGAAGUGUGCACCCCCCCGUGCAGCAAGUCCACGCUCGCUCAGAGAUGGAGGGAAAUAGGUAGGAGGAAGUCCUCACUGGGAACAUUGUAUGGGCUGCAACCUGGCUGCUCAAAACAAGGUUUAUAACUGAAGUGUAGUUUACACAAUGCUGACCUGUUGGAAGUAAUGGAAGAGGUUCAUAUGCACACAUGGAUAAAAUUAAAUGUUUAAGUCUGAGUUUAAAUCUUACAAAAAAUAAAAAAUAAACCAGAUGAGGCCUAAAGAGGAAAAAUUAUUUACUUAAAAAAUGCAGGCCGGGCACGGUGGCUCAAGCCUGUAAUCCCAGCACUUUGGGAGGCCGAGGUGGGCAGAUCACGAGGUCAGGAGAUCGAGACCAUCCUGGCUAACACAGUGAAACCCCGUCUCUACUAAAAAUACAAAAAAUUAGCCGGGCAUGGUGGCGGGCGCCUGUAGUCCCAGCUACUCGGGAGGCUGAGGCAGGAGAAAGGCG
Molecule: long non-coding RNA, 923 nt
Filed under: Homo sapiens (human)
Lineage: Eukaryota; Metazoa; Chordata; Mammalia; Primates; Hominidae
Description: HSALNT0275143
Source: RNAcentral